AUAGAAUUUGACAAUAUUUUAGCAUUUAAUUUCAGUACUGUGGUUUUAUUGGAUCGGUUUGGAGGAUAAGACUAGAUACAAUUUCUGCUAGAAGUCUGUUAGAAGUCACAAAUUAAGUUCGGCUUUGACAGGAAAUAAAUUUGGUGCGGUCGGGAAUUAUGGCUGUUCAAAUACGCCUUACUUAUAUUGUCAUCCUACUUACCAUUUUGAAUCUCACGCUGUGCUUUCCUCAUCCUAUUCCUCAUGGUCCUCGAAGUAACUUGGUUUCCUCAAAGGAAGAAAUGUUUCUUACACGUUUGCACAGGCAUCUACACAAAGAUACAAGCCAGCAGAUGAAUGUGGUUCUGCAGACGGUAGAAUAAUGAAGAACAUCUUUCAACGAAGGCUGAGAAGAUCUAGAUAACUAACAAGUUGACAUGUAAAGAGUUUAGCUGCAACCCUGAAGAAAUAUUAAACACUGACAAAUAUACAUUCAUAAAGUGUAUUGAGAGCGAUCGUGAACACUAACAAAUAUACAUUCAAUAAAUACAUUGAACGUGAUCGUGGUAUGUGUUUUAACAAAUAUAGUAGUAUGUAUCGUCAUUACAAAAUAAUCAUGACUGUUCUCUGUAAAAAAGUUCUAAUUAACUGUUUUAAACAAAGAUUAACAACUAAAGUAUUAUAAACAUCUGCAUAGUUUACCUGUAAAUAUUAUCAUACUUUUUGUAGUUUGACAUUCCACUUCUUCAGUCUGGAACAGGUUUUUGUCUUAAACUAACUGUAUAUACAUGCUAUAACAGUUUAGCCAUAUAAUUCUGCUGAAUAAAGUUAGCAAGAAGU
This is a long non-coding RNA of Mercenaria mercenaria, 819 nucleotides long. RefSeq lists it as uncharacterized. Lineage: Eukaryota; Metazoa; Mollusca; Bivalvia; Venerida; Veneridae. The transcript is spliced from 3 exons. The record is from RefSeq and is a predicted model, not a curated record.